UCCAUUUUCUAAACUGUGCCCGAUUGUAAUAGUUUCGAUUGAAUCUGUCUAAAUGAUAAGUUGAAUCCUUUUAUGAUACUGCCACUGUAAAUCAUUUUUGUUAAUCUUUUGUGAAGGCGUGUAUAUUACAAUAAAUUCCAUAAUUUUCAAUGCAUCUACUUUAUCCUGCAAUGCAUCUAGUUUAAUAAUCGUUUCGAUUGAAUCGAUCGAUUUUACAAGUAAAUUCCUUCUUUUAUAACGCAAUUGUAGUUCCUCCGUCUGAAUGAUUUGUAUACACGUAAAAAAAAAAUUGAAUAAUUUCUCCGGGUUUUUAGCCUUAAUCUUCCUCGCUUGCUAAAGAUGUGUUGGAAGAUGGUGUAAGGAUGGUGUGUUAGGGAAAUUUAUAGGCUUAGACAAGGAUACUGGAUGGGACAAUGGAUUCCCCCGUAUGGUCUUGGGAGAUAAUCCAAGGCUUGCGUAGGCAGGGUCGCAUCCCUGAAGUAGGUCUAUCCUCCACCGGGAUCGUGUAGGAGUACCUACCCGCUACCUUUAUCUAUGAUAGUAUAAUGAAUUAUUUAUAGUGUUUUUUAAAGACUUUUUGAAGUAUGCCUGAUUAUAAUCGUUUCGGUUUAAUCAGUCGCAAUGAUAAAUGAAAUCCUGUUCUUUAAAACGCUAUUGUAAACUAUUUUUGUGAAUUUUCCGUGAAGACGUGUCUAUUACAAUAUAAUUAUCAAUUUACAAAGCUUCCAAAUCACUCUGCAAUGCGUUUAUUAUUAUAAUCGUUUCUAUUAAAUCGAGGGAAUUUAUGAGUUGAAUCCUUUUUUUAUAACACUAUUGUAUACACCUUUUGUGAAUUAUUUGUUAAUGCGUAUCUAUGACAUUAUAAUAAAAUAUUUGAAGAACUGUAAGAUAACUCUGUAAAUCAUGCUCGAUUAUAAUUGUUUCGGACUGUAUAAAUCCUAUUUCUAAUGAGUGGAGUCGCUUUUUGAAAAUCAAAUGCUAACGCUUUAAAAAAUCAAGUUGACAAAAUCUAGAACAUCGUAGAUUGGAUGAGAUUAAAUUAUCUAACUUGACCAAUAUUAUUAGUCCUCAAUAAUCACUUUUAUAUGAUACGGGAAAAUGGAUUUUACUCGAUGUCCAGCACAAUUGUCGGAGGAGAAAAAAAGCAAUUGUCAUUCUCAAGUUGACAACAUCAAAAAUCGGGACUAUUGUUACGUAUAAAACGUAACGAAAGGAAUAAAUCGAUCAUCAUAUUGUUUGAGACCAUUCGGGUCUUGAGAAUCGUAUUCGAAGAUGCAAGGAAAUAAUAAUAAUACAUUCCUGGAGGUCAUAAAACUAGCAAACAAACUUACUAAGAAAAUACAUGCGUUUCUAUCUAAAGAAACUAUUUCUUUCAUCCUAAAUAAGUUUUUCUCGUCGCAUAAUUUCCACUGCAACAUCCACUAAACAAAGUUAACACUACGCCGGCCGGCGACGGCACAUUGGUGUACCGUGGUUAGACUUUGAUUUACUGAGGACCAAUAACGAAUUUGACAUAUCUCCUGGUCCAAACGUAUUUUCCGAAGAUACACAGAGCGUCGAGGAUAUCAUAGAAUUAUUUUGGAACGAUUUAUUUGAAUAUAUUAGCAGCGAAACGAACAAGUACUACAAUCAAAAUUAACAAUAGAGUACUAAAUUACAAUAGAAGGAAACUAGAUAAAUAAAAGUGCCAAAUUCGUUGACGUUACGGCAGUCGAACUUAGAAAAUGAUUUGAGUUUGUUAUCCUUAUGGGAAUUGUAAAAAAAAACCAAGGAUGGAUGAUUGUUGAUCAACGAAUCCAUUGAUAGAAACUUCAAUAUUUCGCAUAACGAUGUCCUGUAACAGAUUCAGACAAAUGUUAUCAUUUUUAUCAAAUAGUGAUAUAUAAAACAAACAAAUUUUACAUUUAUUUACAUAUGUAUAUCUUCGAAAUUUCAUGAAAAUAUGGGGACAGAAUUGAAAACUCAUUAAAACUAACGAUGAGAUUAGUAAAACUUGACAAUUUAUAAUCUCCCGAUAACCUCAAGAACGGCAGGCGCCAAGCAAAGUAAUCCGAAGUAAUCCGAAGUAAUCCGAAGUAAUCCGAAGUAUUUCGAAGAAAUGCUGCAGCGCCAAGUGAAGAAAUUUGUACGAAACAUGUUCGUCGUCCCGACAAAAUAUCAAAAAGGAAACCAACUCGACCAGACGACGCAUCUGGAACCGGGCAGUAAGCAAGAACCACGGACUCUGCGAUACAAGAAACAUUAUUACAGUUAAGAAUAAAAAUCUUUCUCCAAUGACGUCAAAGUCCAAAGAAGGGCAGGAAACGUGACAUGAAAACCUGUUAGGAAGGACUCCCCGACAUCAUUGUACAAAACAGUAGAAUUGUUAUACAAAUUUAACCGAUUUUUACUUCUGUAGUUUUGGGUAAUGUUGUUAUCUUAGCUUUUUGAUAACACUGAUUUCCAUAAUCGACACUUAUGAGAGACUAUUCCAAUAGAACUAGGAAAUGAUAACUCGCUAUUUGUCGGUUCGAAAAAAGAGCAUAUCGGCAACUAAACGUCGAAAUUUUACGCCGAAAGGAAUCCGUUUCCCUAGACGAUAAAAGAAGGACACUUUUCUAACGACUGUCUUAGUGUCUGGUUCAGCACUGCAUAUUAUAUAUUAUAGCACUGUAUAUUGUAUAUUAUAGCACUGUAUAUUAGCACUGUAUAUUAUAUUGUAAACUCUUCCGAUCUAUAUUUUGAUAGUCUGAUUAGUUUCUGUUCAAUUUAUUACUUUGUCUCAAGAACAAUACAUUUCGCUGUAAUUUAACCGGUUUAUAUAGUCGUUUAUGUAUUAAUUAUUAGAUUAUAUUGCUUAGUAAUUCGACGAUCAAGUCGUUGAAUUCGUCACGACAGCCGCUAUCAGAAAAUAUGUACCAAAACAUAACAUUCCAUUUAAAAAAACAAACUUGAGGUUUAAACCUCAGAAGCGACUGAACCUAGCAAAACAAAAAUUGGCGUCAAAAUUUUUGACGAAAUUUUUCAUGCAACUUUCGUUCUAUAAAUUUUUCUGCUACUAUCAUAUUUUCGUAGCUAUCAUACUUUCGGAGCUAUCUUGCUGGUAAGAAAGUUAGUGAAUCACCCUGUAUAUUGCGUGCAUCUCUUUUAAAGCGUUAUUAUCAAGUUUAUUUGUAUAUAAAAAUAUUACACGAAUAUCGAGAUUGAAUUCAUGUGGUUAUAAAAUUUAACAAAAAUAACAAAAUUGAAUACUUUUGAGAAAAUUUUCUUUGUUAAAAUGCGACUCUGACAAUGAAGAAUACGACUAUGAACGAAAUUAUGCCAAAAAGAAAAGAAAAACGAAGACAGAGAAAUAAAUGUUCACAUGUCAAGAAAAUCCGACAUUUCUAAUACAUCAAACUAAUACAAGAGAUUGUUAAUGUAGAUUAUAAGAACUGAAUGUAUAAACAAUUUACGAGAGAUAGGAAAUACGUCUAUCCUGUAUCUAAUUAACGAGUAGACUAACUAACUAUAAAGUUAACGAGAAUAAACAUAAAAAUGUUCAACUAAUAUCUUAACGGUUAAACGUAUGCUUGACGACUCACUAAUCAAACUUUAUCGCUUUUACAAAUUUGUACAAAUUUGUAAAUAUAAUAAGAUAAUAAGAUAUCUUAAUAUCUUAAUAUCUUAAGAACAGAUUUACCUAGAAAAAAUACUAUAACACAUAUUCCCCUCCAAGAAGGGGUGCAAGUAUAAUAAUUACUCGCCUACAAGAAAUAAAUAGAAUAAACAAAUCUUAUUAUCUGUUAUAAAUUUGUACGAGAAACAAUUCAAAAGUUACAUUAUUAUCUUAACGAUUUCAUGGUUUUGUAAAGUUAAAUAAAUUUAUUAAAUUGU
RNAcentral lists this long non-coding RNA (3855 nucleotides) under Polistes fuscatus (common paper wasp). RNAcentral describes it as "uncharacterized LOC122513621". Lineage: Eukaryota; Metazoa; Arthropoda; Insecta; Hymenoptera; Vespidae. The record is from RNAcentral.